AGCGAACGCUGGCGGCAUGCCUAACACAUGCAAGUCGAACGAACCUUUCGGGGUUAGUGGCGGACGGGUGAGUAACACGUGGGAACGUGCCUUUAGGUUCGGAAUAACUCAGGGAAACUUGUGCUAAUACCGAAUGUGCCCUUCGGGGGAAAGAUUAAUCGCCUUUAGAGCGGCCCGCGUCUGAUUAGCUAGUUGGUUGAGGUAAUGGCGCACCAAGGCGACGAUCAGUAGCUGGUCUGAGAGGAUGAUCAGCCACAUUGGGACUGAGACACGGCCCAAACUCCUACGGGAGGCAGCAGUGGGGAAUCUUGCGCAAUGGGCGAAAGCCUGACGCAGCCAUGCCGCGUGAAUGAUGAAGGUCUUAGGAUUGUAAAAUUCUUUCACCGGGGACGAUAAUGACGGUACCCGGAGAAGAAGCCCCGGCUAACUUCGUG
This 434-nucleotide ribosomal RNA is filed under the name uncultured bacterium. RNAcentral's name for it is "partial 16S ribosomal RNA". It matches the Rfam family "Bacterial small subunit ribosomal RNA", at positions 29 to 507 of the family's 1533-position model. The record is from RNAcentral.